Molecule: non-coding RNA, 72 nt
Organism: Hypoxylon fuscum
Lineage: Eukaryota; Fungi; Ascomycota; Sordariomycetes; Xylariales; Hypoxylaceae
Source: the annotation of a GenBank genome assembly
ACCGGUAUAGUGUAAUGGCUAACAUACUUCGUUCUCGCCGAGGAGCUCGGGCUUCGAUUCCCCGUGCCGGAG